Meriones unguiculatus (Mongolian gerbil) is the source of this 110-nucleotide small nuclear RNA. The record is from RefSeq and is a predicted model, not a curated record. Lineage: Eukaryota; Metazoa; Chordata; Mammalia; Rodentia; Muridae.
GUGCUGCUUGCUUCGGCAGCCCAUAUACUAAAAUUGGAACUAUACAGAGAAGAUUAGCAUGGCCCCUGCACAAAGAUGACACAAAAAAUCAUGAAGCAUUCAUAUUUUUG